RNAcentral lists this ribosomal RNA (399 nucleotides) under uncultured bacterium. RNAcentral's name for it is "bacterial SSU rRNA". It matches the Rfam family "Bacterial small subunit ribosomal RNA", at positions 356 to 773 of the family's 1533-position model. The record is from RNAcentral.
AGGGAAUCUUCCGCAAUGGACGAAAGUCUGACGGAGCAACGCCGCGUGAGUGAAGAAGGUUUUCGGAUUGUAAAGCUCUGUCAUCUGGGACGAUAAUGACGGUACCAGAUGAGGAAGCCACGGCUAACUACGUGCCAGCAGCCGCGGUAAUACGUAGGUGGCAAGCGUUGUCCGGAAUUAUUGGGCGUAAAGCGCGCGCAGGCGGCUGUUUAAGUCUGGUGUAUAAUCCUGGGGCUCAACCCCGGGUCGCACUGGAAACUGGGCAGCUUGAGUGCAGAAGAGGAGAGUGGAAUUCCACGUGUAGCGGUGAAAUGCGUAGAGAUGUGGAGGAACACCAGUGGCGAAGGCGACUCUCUGGGCUGUAACUGACGCUGAGGCGCGAAAGCGUGGGGAGCAAAC